RNAcentral lists this unclassified non-coding RNA (1790 nucleotides) under Leishmania donovani. RNAcentral describes it as "gene:LdHU3.31.0110(CDS-product:hypothetical_prote in_conserved)". Lineage: Eukaryota; Euglenozoa; Kinetoplastea; Trypanosomatida; Trypanosomatidae. The record is from RNAcentral.
AGAUCACAGUGUAUCUAAUCCUUGCUACUACUCGUUGUCGGAUACGAUGAUGCAGCGUCCCCAUUACGAUGCUCAGGGCCAGGUGCCACAGUACAGCCGAGCAUCCUACAACGAUGGUGGCUACAACAUGAGCCGCCACAUGGAUGGCAUACCGCCACAAGCCUACAACCAGCCCCCGGUCAACUACUAUCAGCCGCCACAGGUCUAUCCGAUGGGUAACCCCAUGUACAACGUUCCGCAGGGGUACCCGCCGGCGAUGCCCGGAUACCGUGGUGGUCGCGGCCGCGGUGGCUGGUACUAUCCGAGUGCCGGUAGUGGCGGCUACAACAACAUGCGCGGCGGCUUCCGUGGCGGCCGUGGCGGGCUCCCGCUACGCCGCAAGAAGCCUUUUGUCGGCGGCACGCUCGAGACCCAGCGCGAGUGGGAACGCCAGACCGCCUGCUGUUUCAACCUUCAGGGCUCGUGCAAGUUCGGCGACGGAUGCCGCUUUCUGCACGACGAUGUAAAGGGUCGCGCGUGCCAGUUUGGCGCCAAGUGCCGUGUGCACGGCACCGCCAAGGACGCCGAGGCUGAGGCGCCGGCGAAGGAGGACGCACCAAAGAAGAACGAGAAGCCGGGCGAGUCAACGCCGGAGAAGACUGAGGAGAAGACGGUCGCGAAGAAGGAGGAGAAGUCUGCUGAGAAGGCGCCUGAGAAGCCGGUGGCAGACAAGGAAGCCGAGAACGCGGAGAAGAAAGAGUAGAACGUUUGUGGGCUGAUGCCAACGCGUGUAGGGGGUAGCCGAGGUGAUCUCCUCUCAUUCUGCGUGGUGCAUUCCCUGUGCCACGCUUCCACACACUCAGCGAUGCGCGGCAGUCCUUGACGCCUUUGUGCUUUCCUGUCUCCGCAUUUUUCGUUUGGGCGCGCCACUCUCUGUCUAGUUGGAUGAGCCUCCGGCCUCCUAUUCUCUCUCCCUCUCUCUCGAUUACGGCGUGGAUGGGCAUAUCUCCUCUCCGGGCCCGCUGUUGGUUUCUUCUCUGGGCUGUGUCGUUCUGACGCAAGUCUGUGUGUGUGUGUGUGUGCUGCGUUCUGUAUGUCUCUUCUUCCUCUUCUUAUCCACCACCACCCCACCCACACUCGUCAUGCACUCGCGCCAUCCAGCAAAGCAAAGGAAAGAGAAGAGAGAGACGAGAGCGUAAAAAAGGGGGCAACGGCAAAAAUGAGCGCCUCCGCGGCGUCUGUGUGACGUGUCGACGGGCACACCGGGGCGGACGUAAGAAAAAAAGAAAAUCGGUGCGAAACAACGAAAGGAACAAAGAGAGAGAGAGAGACGUAAUCGAUGCGCCGAUGUGUGCGCGCGUGUGUGUGCGUGUGCGUCUUUGUUGUUGUUGCGUGCCUCUGUUGGCACAGAUGAGAGAAGCAAACCGUGCGAAAGAAAAAAAAGAAACGGGAGGGGCUCUUGAUCAACACACACACGCACACGAUAAGAGCAACGAAAGGACAUAAUUCAUUUUGGUUUCUUAUUCUCCUCUUAAAUGCGCAAGGUAAGCUGGUGAAUGCGCCAGCACGCUAAAACAAAGGAAAGCGAGGCACGCUAUCCUCUGCAAGUCUCUCUCUCUAUUUAACAUACACGCACACAAGUGUGCAUGUAGCCUCAUCCUGUGUGUGUGAGUGAGUGUGUUUGUGAGAUCCCCCCCCUUAAGAAAGAAGCGCUCGAAAGAAACGGGGAUGGCAGCAGUGCCACAGGUAGUGUUGUAGUCGCACACGCGAGCGGCAGAGCGAAGUCUGCCAAACUGUUGCGAAAUGGCCAC